Molecule: ribosomal RNA, 619 nt
Filed under: uncultured Thermoplasmatales archaeon
Lineage: Archaea; Methanobacteriati; Thermoplasmatota; Thermoplasmata; Thermoplasmatales
Description: bacterial SSU rRNA
Rfam family: Archaeal small subunit ribosomal RNA
Source: RNAcentral
UUGAUCCUGCCAGCGGCCACUGCUAUCAGGUUCCGACUAAGCCAUGCGAGUCAAGGGGCCGUAAGGCACCGGCGUACCGCUCAGUAACACGCGGAUAAUCUGCCCUCAGGUGGGGUAUAACCUCGGGAAACUGAGGCUAAUCCCCCAUAGCCAUUCUAUGCUGGAAUGCUUGAAUGGCAAAAGCUCCGGCGCCUGAGGAUGAGUCUGCGGCCUAUCAGGUAGUAUGUGGUGUAAAGGACCACAUAGCCUAGGACGGGUACGGGCCCUGAGAGGGGUAGCCCGGAGAUGGACUCUGAGACACUAGUCCAGGCCCUACGGGGCGCAGCAGGCGCGAAACCUGUGCAAUGCGCGAAAGCGCGACACGGGGAACCUGAGUGCCCUGGCAUAGCCAGGGCUUUUCUCAAGCCUAAAAAGCUUGAGGAAUAAGAGCUGGGUAAGACGGGUGCCAGCCGCCGCGGUAACACCCGCAGCUCGAGUGGUGGUCACUUUUAUUGAGCCUAAAGCGUCCGUAGCCGGUUACGUAAAUCUUCAGGUAAAUUCUUCCGCUUAACGGAAGACCGUCUGGAGAGACUGCGUGACUUGGGACCGGGUGAGGUUGAACGUACUUCUGGGGUAGGGG